RNAcentral lists this ribosomal RNA (476 nucleotides) under uncultured soil bacterium. RNAcentral's name for it is "bacterial SSU rRNA". It matches the Rfam family "Bacterial small subunit ribosomal RNA", at positions 26 to 518 of the family's 1533-position model. The record is from RNAcentral.
AGGACGAACGCUGGCGGCGUGCCUAAAACAUGCAAGUCGAACGAGUCAACUGAGCUUGCUUAGUUGACGAGUGGCGUACGGGUGAGUAACACGUGAACAACCUACCGCUUUGUGGGGGAUACCUGUUCGAAAGGACAGUUAAUACCGCAUAGUGCGCAGUUCCUGCCUGGGAAUUGCGGGAAAGCCCUCGGGCGCAGAGUGAGGGGUUCGCGACCUAUCAGUUAGUUGGCAGGGUAAUGGCCUACCAAGACGACGACGGGUAGCCGGCCUGGAGAGGGUGAACGGCCACACUGGGACUGAGACACGGCCCAGACUCCGUACGGGGGGCAGGCAGGUUGGGAAUCGUUGCGCAAGUGGGGGAAACCUGACGCAGCGACGCCGCGUGCGGGAUGACGCAGUUCGGGUUGUAAACCGCUUUCCGUGGAGACGAUGAUGACGGUAUCCGAAGGAACUAACGCCCCGUACUAACCGUCCGU